UACGUAGGGGGCAAGCGUUGUCCGGAUUUAUUGGGCGUAAAGAGCGUGUAGGCGGUUUGGUAGGUCCGUUGUGAAAACUCGAGGCUCAACCUCGAGACGCCGAUGGAAACCAUCAGACUAGAGUCCGGAAGAGGAGAGUGGAAUUCCUGGUGUAGCGGUGAAAUGCGCAGAUAUCAGGAAGAACACCCGUGGCUAAGGCGGCUCUCUAGUACGGUACUGACGCUGAGACGCGAAAGCUAGGGGAGCGAAUGGG
RNAcentral lists this ribosomal RNA (253 nucleotides) under uncultured bacterium. RNAcentral's name for it is "partial 16S ribosomal RNA". It matches the Rfam family "Bacterial small subunit ribosomal RNA", at positions 524 to 776 of the family's 1533-position model. The record is from RNAcentral.